RNAcentral lists this long non-coding RNA (4538 nucleotides) under Homo sapiens (human). RNAcentral describes it as "HSALNT0394411". The record is from RNAcentral. Lineage: Eukaryota; Metazoa; Chordata; Mammalia; Primates; Hominidae.
GCCCCAGCCUCCCAGAGUGCUGGGAUUACAGGCAUGAGCCACCACGCCUGGCCAAGACCAUAAAUCUUAAUUAAUCUAGUUCAUAGUCUCAAAUUCAUUCUACUCUCUGAUUUUUAUUUCUCCCAACUUACUGUGUGCACGCACCCCCCCUUUUUAAUGACAUUUCUCUGAUUUGCACUGCCAUCCUCUCUCCUACUUCAGUGAUCCAGCAUCCACAAUUCAUUUUGUCAUAGGUGAGGCUUACCUCUUUCCUGUCAGUUCUUCACCUGUACAGAUUGCUUCCUUUUCUCUUUUUGCACUUAUUGUUUGCAACACCCAAUGACUUCUUGUAGAGAGCCCAAUUCUGUAGUUGAUAAAACCCACACAUGCACGUAUGUUACAUCUGGCUCGGAAUUGGAAGCUCCAUGGAGAAAGGAAAUGGCUUUUGUUUCUUCAGUAUCUUCACACUCCCAAAUGUGCUGAUAUCUUUAGUCGUUCUUAGCUAAAUGAGUCAAUUGAAAUAAUAAUCUGGAGGGAUUUUUUUAAAUCUCAAAAAUUUUCUAAGUCCCAUGUCUCUUAAAUGAAAAAUUGUCAAAUGAAGGAGCCAUUUUCAGGAUUUUAAUUUAUGUAUUAAUGGUACUCUACUUCCACCCCAAAAGGAUUUAAGGUGAGCUUAAAAUAUUAUGAAAAUAAGAUAAGAUUAUUAAUUCCAUCCAUGCAAGCUCUAAAAUCUUCUAUUUCUAGAUACUAAUCUAAACAAUGAAGAGGUUAUUUUUUAAAGACAAAAGGUGUGCUUUAUAAUAUCUCUCAUUAUCAUGUUAAGAAAAAAAACCAAAAACACAGAUAAAAAAUUUCAGAAAUAUUUUUGCGUUUUCUUUGCAUAUCAUACACAUACACACACACACAUACAUACAUACACAGUCACACUAGAACUGUACUGGCAGUGAACAUAGGUUGUUUAAAGUAUAGCUAUUCAACUGUCAUAUAAAGUGAAAUCUAUAUUUUCUCUCUCCCUAUAUGACUAUAUAUUUAACAUCUCUAUGCAUAUGUGUGUGCAUACAUAUGUAUAUGUUAUAUACACACACUCCACAUUAUUAUUUCAAAGGGGAUUUUGCUCCUUCUGGCUACCAGCAAUAACUAGUCAAUAUUUACACUCUUGAAUAUCGAUGACAUCAUGCAUACACAGGAAAGCUGUGGAAAACAUCUCCAUUUUCAAACAGAGUUUUAAUUAUUUGUAAAGACUUCAAUUGUUCACUAAUGUCAUGGAUUGGUCCUCACAGUGUGAAGUGCAACUGCCCAGAUCCCCCACAGUAUUAUAAAUAGUCUUCUAAAGCCGGGUUGAUUGAUGUUUGGCAUAAAACUCUAUUCCUCUGAGCACAUAUAUUCCUUCUGUUCACUAUUUUCAUAGAAAAAUACCAGGGCUGAUUUUUUAUUCAAAUCUCCAAUUUAUGCAGGGUUUAAACUACUAAAUACUUAAAGCCGUUUUCAGAUCUUUCCCCCCUUUUCUGUUAGGUAGGUAACUAAAUCUUUGGCUUCAAUGCAAAUAAGAAUUGGAGAUUUAGCAGAUUCCUGUGGGGGAGAGGAAGAGUUUAUUAAUUAUAUUGAGAAUCAAAUAAUAUGCUUCUUUGACACUAAUGUUCCAUCUUUCUCCACCCCAAGUAUCCUAUGGGACAACUUUAAAGCCUUUAUCAGGGUCUAAAUUACUGCAUUUAUGGUUCCUUAGAAGUAGGAAUUUAAUGAAUGGCAUUCUGAGUUGAAGAGAGAAUUUGAAGGUUUAAGCUGCAACGGUGAAGCAAUUUUUUUCAAAGUAUGUGGCAGGGAUUGUAAUAUAAAACAUCAAAAAAAGCACAAUAAAAUACAUUUUCAUGAGUGUUAAUAAAUUUUUAAUACUGAUGAAAUGUAAAUUUUUCCUUCAUGACCCUUAUCUGCAUUUGACAGAGUCCAACAGAAAAUUUUAAGUACCUGUUUAAAGCAAUUUACAAGAUACUGUGGAGAUUCCCAGCAAUAAAGAAUGUACUAUAGUUAAGCUGGAAUCCAACUCCUGAAUUUCUGGAGCCCUGAAGACCACUUAGUCUUACUCACAAGAAUUGAAUGGAAUGUGAAUCUACACUCAGGUGAAGCCAGGGUAUUUUGAACGUCCCUACAAGACUGAAGCACCACUGGGAAAUAAGUAAUAGAGAUGCCAUCAUUGUGGAGGUCAUAAUGCUUGUCCUGAACACGAGGGGUCUCUAGUGAGGCACCAAUUCAGCUCCUCUUCUGUGGAGAGACUACAUGGGUGCUGAAGAAACAAAGACACAACGCAGCUCCUCUCAAAGGAGUUCAGAGCUUAGCAGGGGAGACAGAACCAUGAAUGCAUAGUUACGCAUCAAUGUGCUGCACGAGCACUGAAGCCCAAGCACAAGCGGCCUGAGUCCCAAAAACAUUUGCUGACUGCUGUUCUAUCUAGGAUAUCAUCAGUGUGUAGAUGAUCAGAGUUCAUGUCAGUGUUCCUACAAGCCAAUGAAGAAAAACAGAGAUCUGUGUUCUGAAUGGAAAAAUUCCUACUGAUGCCAGUAAGUGAGCCAUCCAUCUAUGAUGUGUCUAUGGGGAAGAAAGUGACAUGAAUGAGUAAAAUAGAAUAUAUGCUUUAAAUCAUGAAAAUUGAGUCCAGAUGGAAAGGUUAGGAGGAAAUGGAGUGGAAAGGUGGAUGAAGAAGAGUGAGAACUCAUGCAGUCGUUGCGACUUGGUUGACACUUCCUUCCCUGUGACUACAAUUCCAAGUUCAGUACUCCUGAGCUUUUAUAGAUGGAUGAGAAUAUAGGGGGAAGAAACAAGAGGAAGGAGUUUUCUGAAAUCUCGGUGGAGAGGAGGGAGAAAAAAGAUGGGAAAAUGUUACAAGCAUUCUGUUCAUGUUGUAUCACUUAGUGCAGUCUUGUCUUCCCAGCCCACUAGUCUGGAACAAGUCAGUCUCAAACAUAACAACAGACACUGGGGAGCUCUCCAACAAAAGAUCACCUCCCAAAGAACAGGAUGGUGUCGAAGACUGAAUGCCAGCCUGAGGAAACAGAAAUACUACAGAAGCACGCCAGAGCCUGCAGUGUCUCCUCGCUGCCUCUCAAUGAACUGCUAAAAGACCAAGAACUCUGCUGAGAGAUAAGAAGAGGGGAGGGUGUGCUGCAGGUGGUGCUGGGAGGCCCAGACCUUCUCCUGACAUCUGGGGCUGGCUACAGGAAACAGAAACAUCACCCAGGCCUUGGCGCGAGACAGGACAGAGGCAGAUUGUGACUCAGAUCUGCAGGUGGAAAGUGGGCCUUUCGUUUUCUCCUAGGGGUAGAGCAAAGCCAGAGGGCUCAGUCAGAGGAAACCUAAGGCAGUUCAUGAUCCCUUCAACUUUAUACCAUUUCCUCAAAACUGCCUCCAAACAGUGGGCAACUGGAAAGGUGGUCUGACCUCCAGUGAUCACACAGUAUGCAUUAUAACAGAAGGCUGUCACUGUCAAUUGCAUGGCUCCCUCACUAUGCAUUCCUUCUAUCAAUUUACGACAACACACUGUAGUGAGUACCUGCACAUUGCUGGGUAUUUUGGCAGACAUUGAUAGUAGAUGAAUAACACCUGGUACUUGACCUUGAGACGCUCACUGCCUAGUGUGGGGAACCAAUGGUUGCAAUAUAAAGUAUUAACUAGAGGGAUAGAGGACUGCCUGAGGAUCUCUGCACUCAGAGGAAGGGCCAUGAGAUCAGCCAGGACAGUAGGGAGGCAGUGACUCAUGAAAUUAGCAAGUGGUGAGAAGAGGGCAGUAGAUUCAGCGGCUGCUAAAAAAGGUUACUGAACUUUUUGUUUCAUCAAUGCCAAGAAAUUAAUCUGUUUUAGCCUCUUUCAUGGCCUCUGUUUGAAAUUUUUUAACUUUUUUUUUUUUUUUAGAUUUAGGGGUACAAGGACAGUUGUAUUGCAUGAGUAUAUCAUAUAGUGGUGAAGCCUGGGCUUUAAGUGCACCUAUCACCCGAAUAGCGUACAUUGUACCCACUAGGUAGUAUUUCAUUUCUCACCCUUCUUCCACCUUUUGGAAUCUCCAGUGUUUGUUGUUCUACUCUGUAUGCCCAUGUGUACUCAUUGUUUCACUCCCACUUAUAAGUGAGAACAUGUGCUUUUGACUUUCUGUUUCUGAGUUGUUUCACUUAGGAUAAUGCAUGUUCCUGUUUUGAUUCAGUCAAAAUCCUGGGGUCAGCACUGACAAUGUGAUUAACCCCUGUCCUAAAUUCACUGCAGAGGAACUGCUCCCAUAUGACUACUUAUUACCACCCAAGCCAGAAACCACAAAGAUAUUCUGACCUCUCCUCCUUCACUCCCCACCAACUGGUGAGUAAGCUAGUCACCAAGUCUUGAUUCUACUUGCAAACAUCUUUGGAAGGGAUCUCUCACUCCACACAGUCUCUGUCAUUGCCAAGUAUACCCAUUACCUCUGCUCUGUCCUACGGCUCAUCAUUCCUCAUCUACAUGCUGCACCAACCUCCUAACUCCCAUUCCUCCCCCUCCUAGUUCACUGCCAUAGCGUAAUCUUUCUAUAUCACGGAUCAUAUUGU